GAAGGUAUAGCUCAGAGGUGCAGUGCUUGCCUAGCAUGCACGAGGUCCUGGUUCAAUCCCCAGUACCUCCG
This 71-nucleotide transfer RNA is filed under the name Camelus bactrianus (Bactrian camel). It matches the Rfam family "tRNA". Rfam says of the family: Transfer RNA (tRNA) molecules are approximately 80 nucleotides in length. Their secondary structure includes four short double-helical elements and three loops (D, anti-codon, and T loops). RNAcentral also lists the same sequence under 1 other name. Lineage: Eukaryota; Metazoa; Chordata; Mammalia; Artiodactyla; Camelidae. The record is from Rfam by way of RNAcentral.